UGGGGAGUAGCCAAGUGGUAAGGCAGUGGCCUUUGAAGCCAUCAUUCGGGGGUUCGAAUCCCUCCUCCCCAACCA
RNAcentral lists this transfer RNA (75 nucleotides) under Candidatus Altimarinota bacterium. RNAcentral describes it as "tRNA-Gln". It matches the Rfam family "tRNA". From Rfam's summary of the family: Transfer RNA (tRNA) molecules are approximately 80 nucleotides in length. Their secondary structure includes four short double-helical elements and three loops (D, anti-codon, and T loops). Lineage: Bacteria; Candidatus Altimarinota. The record is from RNAcentral.